This 1341-nucleotide ribosomal RNA is filed under the name Mandalotus sp. NLG-2014. Its description in RNAcentral is "partial 16S ribosomal RNA". Lineage: Eukaryota; Metazoa; Arthropoda; Insecta; Coleoptera; Curculionidae. The record is from RNAcentral.
AGGAAUCUGCCCUAUAAUUGAUAGUCCACGAUUUUUAGUACUUAUUUUAUUAGUUUGCAUAUCGCCGUAGUUUGAAUAUUUUUAUAAAAAUUUAAUAUUCAAUAAGUUUUAUAAGAAAAGAAUUCAGGUCAAGAUGUAGUUUAUGGAUAAGAAGAGGUGGAUUACAAUAAAUUUAUUUAAAAUGGAAUAAUGUAUAAAAUUAUAUUAUGAAGGUGGAUUUAAAGGUAAUUUUAUUAAGAUAAAUAAUUUGAUUAAUAGCUCUAAAAUAUGUACAUAUCGCCCGUCGCUUUCAUUAUAAAAUGGAAUAAGUCGUAACAGAGUAGGUGUACUGGAAAGUGUACCUAGAACGAUCAAAUUAGAGCUUGGUUAAGCAUUUUAGUUACAUUAAAAAGUUUAUUGUAAAUUCAAUAUAAUUUGAAUUUAAAUUUUUAUUAAGAGAGUAUUUAAUUAUGUUUUAUAAUAAAUAUAUUUAAUUUUUAUUAAUUUAUUUUAAAAAAAUAGGUUUAAUUAUAGAGUAAUAGUAUAGUAAUAGAAAAUAAAAUAAGUUUUUAAAAGAAGAAUUAAUUUUUUGUACCUUGGGUAUCAGGGUUUAUUAAAUAAAUUUUAAAAAUUUAAUUUUCUCGAAUUAAUAAGAGUUAUAAUUAUAUACUUUUUUUUGUGGAAUAAAAAUUGUUAAUAUAAUUAUGGAAGUGAAACGUUAGUCGUUUAUUAAUAUAUCUAGUUUUUAAAGAAAUAAAUUUAAUUUUAUUAUUAAUUUAAUAAAAAAUUAAUUUGAUAGUUUUUUAUUUAUUAAUAGUCUAUAUUUUAAGGGAUGAGCUUUAAAAUAAAAUUUUUAAAGAUAAGUAUAUAUUUAUUUAAUUAAGUAGGAUUAUAAGUUUUUAUCUUUAAAAAUGUGUUGUAACUUUAUUAGGAUUAUUUAGAAUUUAUAUAGUCUUGAAAUUUUUUAUUUAAAUAAAAAUUUAAAUUAUUUAAUAUUUUGUAAUAAUGAUAAAAUUAGUAUAAAUUUUUGUUUUAAUAAAUUAUAAAUUAAAGGUUAAAAAAAGGAAUUCGGCAAAUAGAUUUUUCACCUGUUUAUUAAAAACAUGGCUUUUUGAAAAUAAUUUAAGGUCUGGCCUGCCCAAUGAUAUAUUAAAUGGCCGCAGUAUUUUGACUGUGCAAAGGUAGCAUAAUCAUUAGUUUUUUAAUUGAAAGCUGGAAUGAAAGGUUGGAUGAGAAAAUAGCUGUCUCUUUUUAAAUUAAAUAGAAUUUUAUUUUUAAGUUAAAAAGCUUAAAUUUUAAUAGAAGACGAGAAGACCCUAUAGAGUUUUAUUUAUUAAUAUUUAGAGAGAAAUGAGUAUUUAA